GACAAAUCUGUAGAAGAAAGUUUUGGUCAUCUGUUUUUGAUAUCAUCACCAUAAGUACUGGUCACAGUCCUCAGUAAUAUACUACAAAAACACACUAUUCACAAAAAGCUAUGAAAUUUGGAAAAAAAAGAAAAGUAAAAAAAAAAAAAAAAGAGAAUAAGAUAUACUUGCAUUUGUCAUACUGUCCCACAAAUCUUCAUUUUUUGUAUUCUGAUAGCUGUACUUCUGCAGGUACUGCACAAGUCCAGCUUUAAAAACAUCGUCAGUCAGGUAGUCCCUCAACAUAUUUAAUAUACAGGAUCCCUGAAAAAAAGAAACAUCAUCAAACAUUUCUAAAAUCUGAGCUGGAUCUUCCACAGGAGUAGACACAGGAUGCGAUGAAUUUAAUGCAUCCACUUCCAUGGCAUCAAAACAUCUUG
Long non-coding RNA from Oxyura jamaicensis (ruddy duck), 419 nucleotides. RefSeq lists it as uncharacterized. The transcript has 2 exons. The record is from RefSeq and is a predicted model, not a curated record. NCBI's taxonomy places the organism in Eukaryota, Metazoa, Chordata, Aves, Anseriformes, Anatidae.